Molecule: small RNA, 856 nt
Filed under: Pongo abelii (Sumatran orangutan)
Lineage: Eukaryota; Metazoa; Chordata; Mammalia; Primates; Hominidae
Description: retained intron
Source: RNAcentral
GGGCGACGGCGCUGCCGCCAUUUUGUGGGGUGUUUGUCGCAGCGGCCGAGGAGGGAAGACGGCAGUUUGGCGACAUUUCUCGGCCGAAGGGCCAUUUGCUUUUGCGGAGAUGCGGCAUUCCAAAAGAACUCACUGUCCUGAUUGGGAUAGCAGAGAAAGCUGGGGACAUGAAAGCUACCGUGGAAGUCACAAGCGGAAGAGGAGAUCUCAUAGUAGCACACAAGAGAACAGGCAUUGUAAACCACAUCACCAGUUUAAAGAAUCUGAUUGUCAUUAUUUAGAAGCAAGGUCCUUGAAUGAGCGAGAUUAUCGGGACCGGAGAUACGUUGACGAGUACAGGAAUGACUACUGUGAAGGAUAUGUUCCUAGACAUUAUCACAGAGACAUUGAAAACGGUUAUCGAAUCCACUGCAGUAAAUCUUCAGUCCGCAGCAGGAGAAGCAGUCCUAAAAGGAAGCGCAAUAGACACUGUUCAAGUCAUCAGUCACGUUCGAAGAGCCACCGAAGGAAAAGAUCCAGGAGUAUAGAGGAUGAUGAGGAGGGUCACCUGAUCUGUCAAAGUGGAGACGUUCUAAGAGCAAGAUGUAUAGAAUAUUUUUCAACACUUUUUAAACUUUGCAGAAAGAAUAAUCUUUUUAAGAAUAGUUUGUCAGCGGGGGGCUAAAGAACUCUUCAUUGCUUUUUUAUUUUGUUUUUUGUGGGUUUGUUUGUUCUUUUGUAUUUCUUCUUUUCUGUAGAAUUUAAAUAUUUCUAUUCUAAAGUUCCAAAAUAAUAGUGGAAUUUGAGAUUAGAGCAAGAAAGAUAGCUCUAUCUAAUUGUUUUUGUAGCAGCUGAAACUAAAAUAAUUUGAGUGCUG